RNAcentral lists this ribosomal RNA (519 nucleotides) under uncultured bacterium. RNAcentral describes it as "bacterial SSU rRNA". It matches the Rfam family "Bacterial small subunit ribosomal RNA", at positions 8 to 526 of the family's 1533-position model. The record is from RNAcentral.
AGAGUUUGAUCAUGGCUCAGGAUGAACGCUGGCGGCGUGCUUAACACAUGCAAGUCGAACGAAGCGCUUAAAUGGAUUUCUUCGGAUUGAAGUUUUUGUGACUGAGUGGCGGACGGGUGAGUAACGCGUGGGUAACCUGCCUCAUACAGGGGGAUAACAGUUAGAAAUGACUGCUAAUACCGCAUAAGCGCACAGUGCUGCAUGGCACAGUGUGAAAAACUCCGGUGGUAUGAGAUGGACCCGCGUCUGAUUAGCUAGUUGGUGGGGGUAACGGCCUACCAAGGCGACGAUCAGUAGCCGGCCUGAGAGGGUGAACGGCCACAUUGGGACUGAGACACGGCCCAAACUCCUACGGGAGGCAGCAGUGGGGAAUAUUGCACAAUGGGGGAAACCCUGAUGCAGCGACGCCGCGUGAGCGAAGAAGUAUUUCGGUGUGUAAACUUCGGAAGUAUGGGAAGAAUAAAUGACAGUACCAUAUCUAAGCCCCGGCUAACUCUGUGCCAGCCGCCGCGGUAAUUC